ACCACUACUGCUUGUUCGGGUAUAUCUUUGGAGAUCAUUUCGACGAAAUGAGUCACGUUAUUAUAAAACCAGUGCAGCGCUUGUCGCCCUCGGAAAAAGCUUUCGUAGAAAGAAAUGUACGUCUGUUGGCCCAUCUGUCCACAUGUAAGACAAGGAACUGUGGAGAGUCUGGUUGUUCCGAACUAAGAGAGUUCUUGCGUCAUGGUGCAUUUUGUAAGAUGGGAAUCAAGCAGAAUUGCCAAAAAUGUAUUAAUAUUGUAGCUCUUGCUGUAUAUCAUGACGAGCAGUGCAAUCAGGCCGAAGGCUGUCAAUUCAAACUGUGCCGUAAAAAAAUUAGACCGACGUAUCACGUUGUGCCCGAAAAUCCAAAUCUGUUUUAGUCACUUGGGAACGAGCAACUUAUAAUUUAUGAAAGUUGAUCUGUAGUUCGUGAAUUAAAUAAAAGUUCAUUCAUAUAUUCUGUGUAUUUUGUACGAAUACCUUAUGGUGCGAUGUUAUAAUGUGUACGUAGAUGAAAUAGAUUAUAUUGUCCAGAAAAAUCCAUACGAUUUGUUAAGUAUUCAUGAUAUAAAAAUGGUAUACAAAGGUUAAAAUAAUAAUCGACCAAUGACCAAGUAAAUGAAAUGAAAAGAUGAUCUGUAGACGAAGACGAACAAGUUAUUUUCGAGGAAGCUCGUAGAAAGUUACUAAAGGUGAAUAAUCGUUACAAAGUGUAAUUGUUUCGUUAUUAUUCUCAUCUUGCGCAUUUUGUAAACUGUAUGAUUCAACUUGCCUUGUGAUAUUGAAACAUCAAUGACAGAUCAAAGAUCGAAGAAAAAAUUACAAGCCGAGCUCGCCGAUUUGAAUUUCGACUUGGAAGCUUAGCGUUCGAAAGUUAUGGAAUCAGAGAAGAAACAGCGUAACUUCGACAAAGGGUUGGCAGAAGAAAAAGUAAUCUAUUGUUAUGAUUAUUAUUUUCAAAUCAUCCCGUUCGAACGAAAAUUUUAAUUUGGCCUGUUUCUCAGGCUGUGACCGAACAAACAGCCAACGAAGGAGACGCCGUCGAAUGCGAAGAUUUGGAUGAUAGAAACAGCGGACAAAAACGUGCACGAAUUAGAGAAAGCUAAACGCAGGAAGAUGCCAAAUUACGCUUAGAAGUCAAUAUGCAAGCUUUGAGAACGCAAUUUGAAAGCGAUCUACAGCCUAAAGAAGAUUAA
Molecule: RNA transcript, 1196 nt
Organism: Planococcus citri (citrus mealybug)
Lineage: Eukaryota; Metazoa; Arthropoda; Insecta; Hemiptera; Pseudococcidae
Gene name: protein cbp-1-like
Exons: 4
Source: RefSeq, a predicted model, not a curated record